AGUGAAUAGAUACCCGGGUAGUCCACGCUGUAAACGAUGAGUGCUGGACGUUGGCGGGUUUACCUGCCGGUGUCGCAGCUAAACGCGUUAAGCACUCCGCCUGGGGAGUACGGCCGCAAGGUUAAAACUCAAAGGAAUUGACGGGGCCCGCACAAGCGGUGGAGCAUGUGGUUUAAUUCGACGCAACGCGCAGAACCUUACCAGCCCUUGACAUGGGCGGACGGGGUCCAGAGAUGGACUCUUUCUCGCAAGAGACCGCUACACAGGUGCUGCAUGGCUGUCGUCAGCUCGUGUCGUGAGAUGUUGGGUUAAGUCCCGCAACGUAGCGCAACCCUCGUCUCCAGUUGCCAUCGGGUAGAGCCGGGCACUUUGGAG
RNAcentral lists this ribosomal RNA (375 nucleotides) under uncultured bacterium. RNAcentral's name for it is "bacterial SSU rRNA". It matches the Rfam family "Bacterial small subunit ribosomal RNA", at positions 774 to 1145 of the family's 1533-position model. The record is from RNAcentral.